Molecule: unclassified non-coding RNA, 225 nt
Filed under: plant metagenome
Description: partial contains small subunit ribosomal RNA, internal transcribed spacer 1, and 5.8S ribosomal RNA
Source: RNAcentral
UCUCCGUUGGUGAACCAGCGGAGGGAUCAUUACAGGACUCGCAAGACUCCUACAACCCUGUGAACUUAACUAUAAGCACGUUGCUUCGGCGGGUGUCUCGGAGGGGGUUCUCCCUCCCCGGGACGCUAAACCCGCCGGCAGCCUACUAUACUCUGUCUCUUUGCGUUGGGAUCUCGAGUACAAUCAAACAAGUUAAAACUUUCAACAACGGAUCUCUUGGUUCUG